AAUCACCUCUCCUAUUUGCGCAGGCGCAAAGGGUGUCAGCUGGGCCGUGAGGAAGGACCAACAUGGCGGCUUCCACGCGCGUCCUGCACAGAGCGAUGGCUCCGUCUUUGGUGGUGAUUUUGGGAGCUACUGGUACCGGGAAGUCCAAGCUGGCUAUUGAGAUCGGGAAACGGCUCCACGGAGAAAUAAUCAGCGCGGAUUCUAUGCAGGUGUACGAAGGGCUGGACAUCAUCACCAACAAAGUGAGCGCAGAGGAGCGUGCCCAGUGCAGACAUCACAUGAUCAGCUUUGUGGACCCGCUGGUGAGCAGCUACACAGUGGUGGACUUCAGGAACAAAGCCCUUUCCCUGAUAGAGGACAUGCACAGCAGAGGCAAACUGCCGAUCAUCGUGGGAGGAACCAACUAUUACAUCGAGUCGCUGCUGUGGAGGGUCUUGGUGGAUACAGGCGUGAAGGAGGACUCGACGGAUGAAGCAGAUGAAACUCCAGACAGGAAAAAGAAGCUGGAGAACCUGGGAGGAGCUGAGCUGCACAAACGACUGGCUCAGGUUGACCCCUCCAUGGCCGCCAUGUUGCACCCCAACGACAAGCGCAAGAUAGCCAGGAGUCUGCAAAUCCACGAGGAGACGGGCAUCCCUCACAGCCGUUGGCUGGAGCUGCAGAGGGGGCAGGAGGGAGGAGGUGGUCUUGGGGGUCCACUGAGGUACAGAGAUCCCUGCAUCCUCUGGCUGCAUGCAGACAUGGAGGCUCUGGAUAGACGGUUAGAUGAUCGAGUUGAUGAGAUGCUGACUGCAGGACUUAUAGAGGAGCUCAGGGAUUUCCAUACAAGAUACAACAAGCAGAGGAUUCUGGAUGACAGUCAAGACUACCAACAUGGGAUUUUCCAGUCGAUUGGUUUUAAGGAGUUCCACGAGUUCCUAACUGCGCCUGAAUGCAGCGCUCCCCAGGAGAAAGAGGCUCUGAGAGAGCGAGGUAUUGAAGCUUUGAAGGUUGCAACAAAACGCUACGCCCGCAAACAGAACAAAUGGGUUCGUAACCGCUUCCUUCAACGUCCAGGAGACAACGUCCCAGCCGUGUACGGCCUGAAUGUGACUGACUUGUCGAGGUGGGAGGAGGCCGUGUUGACCCCUGCACUGCAGAUCCUGGAGAAUUUAAGGAAGAGCUCCUUCUCUCUAGAACGUUUGUUCUUGUCCGGUCCACAACAGAGUUUAUUUCCUCCUUCAGCUUCCUCUGUUUCACAGGUGCAAAAGCUCACCUCAGAAUGUGUUUCUCCGUUAACUUGCAAAUGAAUUCUGUUGCAGUCCGAUUCAGUGUGAAUUCACACAGACAAUCCGUUAGAGCAAAGACAAGAAGUGUGGAGGCGCUUGUUUGUGUUGGAUAAAACACUGGUACCCAACCCCUGGGCUGUGGACUGGUACCAGGCCAUGGGACAGUUGGUAUUGGACCCCCCCCACCCCCCCCCCCCACCCCCACCCCACCCCCAAAAAAAAACCUGACCUUGAUUUUUUUCAUUUCUGGUUUUGAAGGAAGUUUUAUUUUGAAAAACUACUGGAUUCUCUCUACUACAUCUGACUCCUUCUUCACAUGUCGCUCCGUCACGUGUUGAAAAUCCAGCGUUAAUUUCUUAAAACAACUGCAUUUACAGCUAAAUGAAAACCCCCAAGCUAGUAAAGUUAACAAAAAAACAACAUAUUUGGACAUUUUCUUUGUGUAGAAAAGAGCAAGAGAGGAAAAACGAGAAGAGUCUUUGACUUCAAAAUAAAAGAAAUCUGCAUUUAACAGACAGACAAAAACCUGGAGUCUUUCUUCAAAUACGGAUUUAUUGUUCCCACAGACCAUAAUAAUAAUGCAGAAUAUUCAACAACCGGCUGUUUAAAGUUACAAGGAUGCUGCUAAUAAAGUUGUUCAAACAGUGUAUAGAGAUAUAUAAUUAUAUUAUAUUUACAAAAUACCAGUUUUCGUGACAUUUUCUUCUUUUUUUCUUUCUUUUUCAUAUUUAUCCAUCACACCGUAAAAAUCGGACGAAGCUUAAGUUGAUUAUUUUAGCUUCCACUGUGACAGGUUUGGGUUAAGGGAGAAUCUAUAUCACAUUUUAAUGGUCCCUAUAUGAAAACUAGUGCACUACUAAAGUUUAAAGCAGCUGCAGAGAUUUUAUAAAGGAUGAAGUUAAACUUUUCUCUCAAAAGUUUAUGGACACUGGAGGUGACAAAAAAAAAUCAGGCAUCAACUUCAGCCUUGUCCAUGAAAAUAUUGUCAAUCUAUUUUAAUUUUUCUGGUCCGUGGCCUGAAAGCGAUUGGACUGCUAGAUUAGGGGAUCCGCUGGUUUCUUCUUUGCGUCUUUUUUCUCGUUUCGGAAAAUGUUGCCCCAAAUUGGUCAUCCCUCAGAACUGCACAUGUUUCCAAGUGGUUCGGACCGCUUCGGUCCUUCUGACAUUUCGGUGUUUGUCAGGGCGAGGAGCCGCCAGUUGCACCAGUCAGAAUCCAGAAAGGAGAGCAAAGGAACAAGCGAAGCUUCCACACCUGUGAUCUGUGUGACAAAGUCAUCAUUGGUGACCUGGAGUGGACAGCUCACCUGAAAUCCAGGAAGCAUUACUACCACGUGAGGAAGAAGAGGAAGUCGGAAGAAGCUUCCUCUCAGGACUGCUGUGGUGCUGCUGCUCCAGAUUGCAGCGGAGCCGCUCAGGACUCCUUAAAAGACUGCACACUGACACACACGGACGUUACCGUCACACUCUGAAAACUGCUCUUCAGCUUCCCAACACCACUGUGCCUCAGGAUGCUGCAGAGACCUGCUGCAUCCAUCCAUGUCUGCAGUUGAAGAAAUGUUCACAUUUCCCUUUUUAAUAAAUUAUUUUUAAUCUCCUUU
This is a non-coding RNA of Oryzias latipes (Japanese medaka), 2866 nucleotides long. The record is from RefSeq and is a predicted model, not a curated record. NCBI's taxonomy places the organism in Eukaryota, Metazoa, Chordata, Actinopteri, Beloniformes, Adrianichthyidae.